GAACCUUUACUAUAGCUUUGCACUGGACUUUGAAUAUUUAUGUGAAGGAUAGGUGGGAGACCAUUAAGCAGCUACGCCAGUAGUUGUGGAGUCGUCCUUGAAAUACCACCCUUGAAUAUUUGAAGUUCUAAAUCAGGAGAGAUUCGAGGACAGUGUAUGGUGGGUAGUUUGACUGGGGCGGUCUCCUCCUAAAGAGUAACUGAGGAGUACGAAGGUGCACUCGGUACGGUCGGAAAUCGUGCCAAGAGUAUAAAGGCAAAAGUGCGCUU
RNAcentral lists this ribosomal RNA (269 nucleotides) under Francisella tularensis subsp. holarctica. RNAcentral's name for it is "partial 23S ribosomal RNA". It matches the Rfam family "Bacterial large subunit ribosomal RNA", at positions 2095 to 2370 of the family's 2925-position model. Lineage: Bacteria; Pseudomonadati; Pseudomonadota; Gammaproteobacteria; Thiotrichales; Francisellaceae. The record is from RNAcentral.